CUGUAGCUCAGCUGGAUAGAGCAUCGGCCUUCUAAGCCGAGGGUCGGGGGUUCGAAUCCCUUCAGGC
RNAcentral lists this transfer RNA (67 nucleotides) under Lachnoanaerobaculum saburreum. It matches the Rfam family "tRNA", at positions 5 to 66 of the family's 71-position model. Rfam says of the family: Transfer RNA (tRNA) molecules are approximately 80 nucleotides in length. Their secondary structure includes four short double-helical elements and three loops (D, anti-codon, and T loops). The record is from RNAcentral. RNAcentral also lists the same sequence under 2 other names. Lineage: Bacteria; Bacillati; Bacillota; Clostridia; Lachnospirales; Lachnospiraceae.